RNAcentral lists this ribosomal RNA (396 nucleotides) under uncultured bacterium. RNAcentral's name for it is "bacterial SSU rRNA". It matches the Rfam family "Bacterial small subunit ribosomal RNA", at positions 28 to 417 of the family's 1533-position model. The record is from RNAcentral.
GACGAACGCUGGCGGCGUGCUUAACACAUGCAAGUGGAGCGACGAACCAGGCUUCGGCCUGGGGCAAAGCCGCGAACGGGUGAGUAACACGUGGGUAACCCACCCAGAUGACCGGGACAACCCGAGGAAACUCGGGCUAAUACCGGAUGUGCUCGCGCCCCAUAAGGGGCAUGAGUAAAGGUAGCUUCGGCCUCCGCAUCGGGACGGGCCCGCGGCCCAUUAGCUUGUUGGUGAGGUAAAGGCUCACCAAGGGCGACGAUGGGUAGCUGGUCUGAGAGGACGAUCAGCCACACUGGGACUGAGACACGGCCCAGACUCCUACGGGAGGCAGCAGUGGGGAAUCUUGCGCAAUGCGCGAAAGCGUGACGCAGCAACGCCGCGUGGGGAAGACGGCCG